This 224-nucleotide long non-coding RNA is filed under the name Elaeis guineensis (African oil palm). RNAcentral describes it as "long non-coding RNA (EGUI_LNC025563)". The record is from RNAcentral. Lineage: Eukaryota; Viridiplantae; Streptophyta; Magnoliopsida; Arecales; Arecaceae.
GAGGAGCUUGAAAAGCUCAGGCUUACUAUGCAGAGGGAGUCAAAGGUGGAUUUGAUCAUCCAAUCCUUGACUAGUUUAUUUGGAUAGUUUAUUGAAACUACUAUAUGAAUAAAUUAGACUAUAAUUUAUCUGAAUUGAUCAAUAUGCUGGUCACUACUGAGGGUACAUUGAAAAGUUCAAAGGGCUCUAUUAUUACUAUUGAGCGGACACCUUCUAAGAGAAAG